UAUAAAAUUUUUCCUGCAAAUGGAAUUGACUGCUGAAGUGGCUGUUACUGCUGACACUAAUGUUCAGGUUUUAAAUAGGAAACUGGAGCUAGAUCGAGUUUAUUCUAAAUUAGGUGAAAAGAUUACCAGAAUCUUUAGAGACUACAUGACAAAGGUUACCGAGUUUGAGGAGCUAGCUGAUGUGGGGAAGAGGUUUCUUACUGGAUUUAAUAGGGU
Molecule: long non-coding RNA, 216 nt
Organism: Zingiber officinale
Lineage: Eukaryota; Viridiplantae; Streptophyta; Magnoliopsida; Zingiberales; Zingiberaceae
Exons: 3
Source: RefSeq, a predicted model, not a curated record